GGAGAGGUGCCUGAGAGGCCGAAAGGACAUGUUUGCUAAACAUGCGAACGGGUAACUGUUCCGAGGGUUCGAAUCCCUCCCUCUCCG
Molecule: transfer RNA, 87 nt
Filed under: Bacteroidia bacterium
Lineage: Bacteria; Pseudomonadati; Bacteroidota; Bacteroidia
Rfam family: tRNA
About the family: Transfer RNA (tRNA) molecules are approximately 80 nucleotides in length. Their secondary structure includes four short double-helical elements and three loops (D, anti-codon, and T loops).
Source: Rfam by way of RNAcentral